Molecule: ribosomal RNA, 551 nt
Filed under: uncultured Shewanella sp.
Lineage: Bacteria; Pseudomonadati; Pseudomonadota; Gammaproteobacteria; Alteromonadales; Shewanellaceae
Description: bacterial SSU rRNA
Rfam family: Bacterial small subunit ribosomal RNA
Source: RNAcentral
AGUGGGGAAUAUUGCACAAUGGGGGAAACCCUGAUGCAGCCAUGCCGCGUGUGUGAAGAAGGCCUUCGGGUUGUAAAGCACUUUCAGCGAGGAGGAAAGGGUGUAAGUUAAUACCUUACAUCUGUGACGUUACUCGCAGAAGAAGCACCGGCUAACUCCGUGCCAGCAGCCGCGGUAAUACGGAGGGUGCGAGCGUUAAUCGGAAUUACUGGGCGUAAAGCGUGCGCAGGCGGUUUGUUAAGCGAGAUGUGAAAGCCCCGGGCUCAACCUGGGAACCGCAUUUCGAACUGGCAAACUAGAGUCUUGUAGAGGGGGGUAGAAUUCCAGGUGUAGCGGUGAAAUGCGUAGAGAUCUGGAGGAAUACCGGUGGCGAAGGCGGCCCCCUGGACAAAGACUGACGCUCAGGCACGAAAGCGUGGGGAGCAAACAGGAUUAGAUACCCUGGUAGUCCACGCCGUAAACGAUGUCUACUCGGAGUUUGGUGUCUUGAACACUGGGCUCUCAAGCUAACGCAUUAAGUAGACCGCCUGGGGAGAACGGCCGCAAGGUUA